RNAcentral lists this ribosomal RNA (433 nucleotides) under uncultured bacterium. RNAcentral describes it as "partial 16S ribosomal RNA". It matches the Rfam family "Bacterial small subunit ribosomal RNA", at positions 29 to 507 of the family's 1533-position model. The record is from RNAcentral.
AACGAACGCUGGCGGCAUGCCUAACACAUGCAAGUCGAACAAGACCUUCGGGUCUAGUGGCGCACGGGUGCGUAACGCGUGGGAACCUGCCCUUAGGUUCGGAAUAACUCCCCGAAAGGGGUGCUAAUACCGGAUAAUGUCUUCGGACCAAAGAUUUAUCGCCUUUGGAUGGGCCCGCGUUGGAUUAGCUAGUUGGUAGGGUAAAAGCCUACCAAGGCGACGAUCCAUAGCUGGUCUGAGAGGAUGAUCAGCCACACUGGGACUGAAACACGGCCCAGACUCCUACGGGAGGCAGCAGUGGGGAAUAUUGGACAAUGGGCGAAAGCCUGAUCCAGCAAUGCCGCGUGAGUGAUGAAGGCCUUAGGGUUGUAAAGCUCUUCUACCCGGGAUGAUAAUGACAGUACCGGGAGAAUAAGCUCCGGCUAACUCCGUG